RNAcentral lists this ribosomal RNA (607 nucleotides) under Ceratobasidiaceae sp. Its description in RNAcentral is "partial large subunit ribosomal RNA". It matches the Rfam family "Eukaryotic large subunit ribosomal RNA", at positions 1 to 606 of the family's 3401-position model. The record is from RNAcentral. Lineage: Eukaryota; Fungi; Basidiomycota; Agaricomycetes; Cantharellales; Ceratobasidiaceae.
AUCUGAUCUCAAAUCAGGUAGGACUACCCGCUGAACUUAAGCAUAUCAAUAAGCGGAGGAAAAGAAACUAACAAGGAUUCCCCUAGUAACGGCGAGUGAAGCGGGAAGAGCUCAAAUUUAAAAUCUGGCGGUGUAUUCCGUCCGAGUUGUAGUCUAGAGAAGCAUCAUCCGUGCUGGACCAUGUACAAGUCUCUUGGAACAGAGCGUCAUAGAGGGUGAGAAUCCCGUCCUUGACAUGGACUCCCAGUGCUUUGUGUUGUGCUCUCAACGAGUCGAGUUGUUUGGGAAUGCAGCUCAAAAUGGGUGGUAAAUUCCAUCUAAAGCUAAAUAUUGGCGAGAGACCGAUAGCGAACAAGUACCGUGAGGGAAAGAUGAAAAGCACUUUGGAGAGAGAGUUAAACAGUACGUGAAAUUGUUGAAAUGGAAACGCUUGAAGUCAGUCGCGUUCUCUGGGAUUCAGCCUUGCUUCUGCUUGGUGCACUUCCUAGUUUACGGGCCAACAUGGAUNUUGACCGGUGGAAAAGGAUUUGGGGAAUGUGGCACCUCCGGNUNUGUUAUAGCCCCUUGUCGCAUACAUCGGUUGGGAUCGAGGUUUCAGUGCACGCUG